CGCCUGGGGAGUGCGGCCGCAAGGUUAAAACUCAAAUGAAUUGACGGGGGCCCGCACAAGCGGUGGAGCAUGUGGUUUAAUUCGACGCAGCGCGAAGAACCUUACCUGGCCUUGACAUCCAGAGAGCUUUCCAGAGAUGGAUUGGUGCCUUCGGGAACUCUGAGACAGGUGCUGCAUGGCCGUCGUCAGCUCGUGUCGUGAGAUGUUGGGUUAAGUCCCGUAACGAGCGCAACCCCUAUCCCUGGUUGCUAGCAGGUAUGCUGAGAACUCCAGGGAGACUGCCGGUGACAAACCGGAGGAAGGUGGGGAUGACGUCAGGUCAUCAUGGCCCUUACGGCCAGGGCUACACACGUGCUACAAUGGCGCGUACAGAGGGCUGCCAACUCGCGAGAGUGAGCCAAUCCCUUAAAACGCGUCGUAGUCCGGAUCGGAGUCUGCAACUCGACUCCGUGAAGUCGGAAUCGCUAGUAAUCGCGAAUCAGAAUGUCGCGGUGAAUACGUUCCCGGGCCUUGUACACACCGCCCGUCACACCAUGGGAGUGGAUUGCACCAGAAGUAGUUAGUCUAACCUUCGGGAGGACGAUUACCACGGUGUGGUUCAUGACUGGGGUGAAGUCGUAACAAGGUAACCGUA
RNAcentral lists this ribosomal RNA (634 nucleotides) under uncultured Marinobacter sp. RNAcentral's name for it is "bacterial SSU rRNA". It matches the Rfam family "Bacterial small subunit ribosomal RNA", at positions 870 to 1504 of the family's 1533-position model. Lineage: Bacteria; Pseudomonadati; Pseudomonadota; Gammaproteobacteria; Pseudomonadales; Marinobacteraceae. The record is from RNAcentral.